GCUACAUGGCACCUGGUAAUUUAGUACUGUUAUAUGUAUCUUGUCCACUGCCCAUUCCUUAUUCUGCUUUAGUGUAUCUGCUCUUCCUUUGGAAGUAUAUAACUGCUUUUCUGUAACUGCGUUUUGAGACAACAUAACAAGUUACUUUUUUCGGAAAUGCAGAGCUAGCACUUACAAUGAAGGUUACAGAGAAAUGUGAUGUUUAUAGCUUCGGAGUGGUGGCAUUGGAACUAAUGAUGGGACGGCACCCGGGAGAGUUCAUAUCUUCACUUUCGUCCUCAACAACAACAGCAGCAGCAUUGCAAAGUAAUCCCGAUCUGUUUUUGAAAGAUCUGCUCGACCAACGGCUUUCACCUCCUACUGGCCAAAUAGCAGACGGAGUGGCAUUUUUAGUAACCCUUGCAUUAGCAUGCACACAGGCCUCGCCAGAGUCGCGGCCUAACAUGCGUUUUGUUGCACAAGAAUUGUCAGCUAAGACUCAGGCUUACUUUCCAGAGCCACUGGGAACAAUAAAAGUUAGUAAACUAACAAAUUUCCAGAAAUAGGUGUUGAGCAAGAGUGUUUUGAAAAUCUUAGAAUAUAAUCAUCACUUGUAUUGUACAGCAUAAUUUUAUCAACGCACUGUAUCAUAUAGUAGGGUAUGGGUGUACAAUUAUGCAACAAAAUUAUCCUUCAGCUUCACACGUAGCAUAUCACAUGCUGAAAAUGGAUGCAUUCUUCGUUUUAGCCAUCAUAGAUAUUAUAAUUGAUAAUAAAGCAAUUGAUGCUGAUGAUCUGAUUCUAUUUAGAAAAUAUAAAGCAGGUAGAAAAUUAUAGAAUUAUGAACAUGGAUCAACUAUUAACAUGGCAGCACAAUGCACCACUACUAUGACCAAGUUUUUCUUCUCUGACAUAGUUGAGCACAAAUACAGAGAUCGAUGCAUAUAAUAUAACAGGUUGAUUGGAGCAGAAAAGGAGUACUAGCAUUAAAAAUAAUCUCCAAACUUGAGAUGAAAUCAUAAUUUGAUAUACAUAUGUAGAAAUCUGGUUUUAAUUGUUGAUUGAUUGAUGUACCAUAUUUAGGAUGAAUAGGAUUGAUUGAUGUACCAUACUUAAACUUUCCAUAGUUUGGUAGGCUAAUUAGCUCUCUCCCAAUCAAUUUCACACAAUCAUUUGUGUGUUUUUCUCUUCAUGGUAUUAGAGCUAGGUUCCAAAUCAACCUAACAAUCAAUGACAACCAACACUAGGGAUUCUACAACUUCUGAUUCCUCUCUAAGUGAGGCAGAAAUUAUCUCCUCGAUGAGCUCCAAUAAUGUCGAAAAUCCUUCUUUACUACUCUGUGUCAAAAAAUUGAAUGGAAGGAAUUUUCGAGCAUGGGCUCAAUCUAUCAAAUUGAUAAUUGAAGGCAAAGGAAAACUAGGUUACCUCACUGGUGACACCAAGCAGCCGAUUAAAACCACUCUUCCUCAGAAGUGAAGAUCUGAGAACGCCAUGAUAAAUGCAUGGCUCGUGAAUUCCACGAUUCCAUCCAUAGGGAAAACUUCUUAUUUCCGUCGACAGCAAAGGAAGUAUAGGAAGCAGUGAAAGAAACCUACUCCGAUGGAAAAAAUGCGUCACAUAUUUUCGAAAUAAAAACGUGGCUGUGGCAAACCAAACAGUUAGAAAGGGAGGUCACAGAUUAUUACUUGGAGAUGACUAAUUUGUGGCAAGAACUCGACCUUAGCCUUGAUGAGGAAUGGGAUUGCCCUGGUUAUAGCAUCCUCUACAAGAAGAGGGUCGAAAAUGAGCUGCUUUUCGAAUUCCUUGCUAGUCUCAAUCGCAAACUGGAUGAAGUAAGGGGGAGAAUCUUAGGCCGUUGACCCCUACCAUCUACUCGGCAUGAUUUUUUAGAAGUGAGAAGAAACUCGUAGAUAAAUCAUUUUUUGAAGUGUGGGGAUUCCGACAUCGCCAUGGAGCCUUUUGGGACGGUGUCGAGAGGAUAUCGGCAUGGGUCUUCU
Molecule: long non-coding RNA, 1976 nt
Filed under: Olea europaea (common olive)
Lineage: Eukaryota; Viridiplantae; Streptophyta; Magnoliopsida; Lamiales; Oleaceae
Description: long non-coding RNA (OEUR_LNC001492)
Source: RNAcentral